This is a long non-coding RNA of Motacilla alba alba, 2344 nucleotides long. RefSeq lists it as uncharacterized. The record is from RefSeq and is a predicted model, not a curated record. Lineage: Eukaryota; Metazoa; Chordata; Aves; Passeriformes; Motacillidae. The transcript has 3 exons.
GGCCUUCAUUGGCCAAGGGAAGAAAAUAUCCUCACUUUGGGUAAACAAUCUCCACAUUCCAUUCUACUUUGGCACAACACAGGCACAGCAAGUGAUAAGAACUGUGUUUUUCUUUCUCUGAUCUUCAGAGAACGUGAGUCCCAGCUAUAUUCCUGGGAAAAGCUGUGCCUUGCUUUUCUCCGUGAGGAGAAAUGUGGUAACAACUUCAGGCCCGGCUCUUUUCGAGCUGCCAGGGAGGAUGGUGCCUUUGCCAGGGAGCGCAGUGCCAGAGGACGAGCGGCAGGAACCAUCCCGGGAGGACGAGGAUGGACUCGAUGAUCUCAGAGGCCUUUUCCAAUCGAACUGACGCUGUGUGAGUCUGUGGCAAGUAAAGGACGAGGCAGACGGGGAGUCAGAGACGAGGCGCACGGCUGGUUUUGGUUCUCCGGAUCUACUGUGCUUGUCCACAGCUUCACAACUCAGCAGGACAGUAAGUUCUGAGGACUGUGUGAUUCAGGCAAAGGGAAAGGGAAGAGCAGACCUUUACCGUGGCAUGUAAAUAUGCAGAAGGCAUGGUGCUAAACUGCACCUGAAAGUUACACCCACAAACUGAAUGCACUGCUAGAAGCAUCCAAGCAGCUGGAACUGAUGAAGAUCCAGCACCUGGUUGCUUGUCACCAUCCUGCAGCAGGUUACUGCACCCACAGCUGUUGCAUAGGUGCUCUUUGGCUCAUCCCCUUGGAUACUUCACUGGAGGUUGCCUGCCAGCCUUGCUGGCACCAGGGACCUGUUUGGGGUCAGGCUGGCAGAACUGUGGUGGUAAGUGGCCUUUUGCAAAUGGUCAGUGAUAAAGGGCUGGGGAGAAAUAAUGACUGUGAAUGGAGCAAAUGUUUGCAAACUUAAUUUGUGCUUAUGGUGUAAAUGUAUAGUCAUAAAGCAAAUGGAUAAAAAUAGUUCUAAGUUGAUGUGAGAGAAACCACGCACAAAAAAUUGAACUUGUUUGGUUAAUAGUGCAUGAAAUAAGUCCAUAUAGCUUCUGUAUGUAGGAAGGAGGUCCUGAAGGGGAUUUUACGUGACUUGCCUGCUGAAAGCUCUGCAGUGGUCAGGGCAUAGCACUUAGAUCUGCAUUUUACACAUGAUCAGUUUGAGCUGGGAAAUCCAAUUCCCCAUAUUCUGAGGCUUUCUUUCAUAUUUUAUCUUUAUUUCCAAUAGUGUUUCUCAUAUCUGUGUGCAGAAUUUCUCUAUUAGCCCCUUUCUCUAUGAAAGUGUAUAAUGUGCUCUGCUGCCUGACCAACGGCAGCUACAGUCACUGUAUAUUUCCUCAUCAGUAAUAUACCAAAUUUACUCCCCUAUUUUCAGUUUACCCAGAAUUUGUAUGACCACCAGAAUGCUUUCAGACAUUAAGUUCUUCUGAAACAUAUUUUUGACACCAGAUGGAUUUUUCUGCUAUUUCAGGGACCUGACAUAUUUUCAAUGCAAUCCAAAUUAUUGCCAGUCAUAUAUAAAUUCAUUAGAAGUGCCACUGAGUUCAGCACAUGUCUUUGUCUUCCUUCCAUCAAGGUCAUGUCAAGGUGAAUUUGCAUCUGGCUUUUUUUUUUUCUUUUCCCCCCCUCACUUUUAGUGUGUUUUGGAAGGGAUAAGCAUGACAUGUGGAAUCAAUAUUCAAAUAAUAUAAAGGAAAAGAGAUUAUACAGAAAAGAAAGCAUGCAAUUUUAUCAGGUUUUAGAACAGGUAUCAUGUUACUUGCACUGUGCCAAAACCAGUCCUUUUUGCAUCUGAAUUCAGGUCAGGUACAGCCUAGGAUGCUCAAAAUGUGAAAAAAUAAUGCACUUAAUAAAAGCAGAAAGUAUAGUCAUACAUAUACUGCCAAUGAUUCUCAUCUGUGGAUGUUCAAGUAGAAGAUCUUUUGUAUGCAGGAAGUCCUAAAGUAAGUGAAAAUCUUUCAUUCAGUAGAAUUGUAUAGUAUGGGCCCAUGAAUACUAUUUUCUUUUUCCUUUUUAAUUCCUAUAUAAUCCUGUCUAGGAUUAAAUAUAAUUCUGACAAUAAACUGCAAUUAUAUUUGUUUGGGAAAUGAUGCCUAACUGCUAGAGCAGAAACAUUUAACAAGGACACAUGUUGUGGCUCCUGAAAUAUGCUCCCAGCGUCUACUAAUUUCUGUAUGAAUCCAAAUAAAUCAAACCCACUGUGCUUUUUCUGCUCAAUGGCUUUGGAGAUUUCUCUUGAAUACUGUAAAUGGUAUGGAAACUCCAGAGAUCAAUAUUUUGCAUAUUGCCCAUACCUUCCGUCAUUAAACCUUAUUUAUAAACUUCUGGGAAGUGUAUCUAUUACAUUGUCAAAGGAUACUUCUCUGGGACUGUAAGCCUCA